Molecule: long non-coding RNA, 1566 nt
Organism: Passer domesticus (house sparrow)
Lineage: Eukaryota; Metazoa; Chordata; Aves; Passeriformes; Passeridae
Exons: 3
Source: RefSeq, a predicted model, not a curated record
GAAGGAAGGAAGGAAGGAAGGAAGGAAGGAAGGAAGGAAGGAAGGAAGGAAGGAAGGAAGGAGUGGGGACAGAUGCAGGACAAGAGAAGAAGAAGCUAAAAUGUUAUACCUCUGAUGGAUUAAACACAACACUGGUCUUGAAGACAGGGAAUACGAGCAAUAGUCUAGGUGGAAUGCAGAGAAGAGCCAGAAAGAGCCAGAGACAAUGCCUGGAACAGGAAACCUCUGAUAUACCCUACCAGACCGAGGCAGAAAUUCCUUCCUUCCCCCCAAACUGUAAAUAGUUGCUCUGUCCUGCCUCCAUAACAGCCUGUCCAUUCUGCUGGCAAAAGGUCUGCAUGUGGCAUGAUGACAUAGCCACGGUGAACCUUUCUGGAUUACCAACACAUUUCUUUUUAAGUGGCCAGGUUAAUAUUAACCCAGUCAUUUCCCCAACAUCCAAGACUCCUGACCAGAAGCAGAAGGGCAUGUGCUGGCACAAAGAAGAGUGUGGCACAAAAGGAGGAAUGCAUGACUGGGCACACAGCAUACACCACUUCUUCUUGUGGCUGAGCUGGCUUAAAGCAUCCCUGAACCAUGGCUUUGGUUAGACAGAAAUCAGGAUGCAGUCUGUUAUGUUUUCCUCUUUAACCUGAGUUCAGAUGUAUGGUUCACAUCUUGCUGUGUAUUAUACUCCAGCUGUGCUACAAUAAUGGCACCUCUACCCUCUCAUCAGGCAGUAAUUUUGAAUUAAAAUGCCUCUUCUAGGGAUGGCUUCUAAAGUACAACACAUACCACCUCGUGAAUGCGGUAACCGAUAUGCCGACAUUCCAGAGUGCUAAAUAGGUGAGGAUGUUGGCUUUCAGGAACAAUCCCUUGCCAGAUAAUACUUCAUUAUCUGACAGACCAUCUGGUUUCCAGUCCAUCAAUGCUAUAUUACUACAGUCAGCUCGCUAUGCUUGAUUAUUGCCCAACAUUUGUAUUACUUUGUAAAUAAUAGAACUCAAAAAAAGAAAAAGAAUCUUCCACAGACUGAGCAAGACAAAUCACCACUUGCUUAUGUACUUGUCAUUGUCAUUUUUGGAUAAUGGCCAAACAGUGGAUUUUUGUCCAUGUGACUUGUGCAUUCAGAGUACAGCAUACCCCAUUGUUAUCAGGAGAAAGAUCACCAACUUUUAAUUGCACAAUAUAUAUAAACACAGCUGGCCUCGUGACUCAUUCUGUAAUGCAAUAUGUUACUCCCUAAAAUUCUGUUUCAGGUGUGACCUCAGGACUCCUUCUAUUCCAGUUGUUGAAGUCUCUGAGGUAUACAGUGAUAUACUCAUAGACUACCAGGAAUAUUUAAAUAAUAUUUUUUUCUUGGAUUUUAGGAGGAAUGUGAAUGAAAAGCUAUAUCUAUCGUAUAUCCUUUUGGUGUCUAUUCCAAGCACAGACUUAAGAAUGAAUAAUCAGAAGAAUGUGCAGUUUAUAAUUCCAUAAGCAAUGAUAGCUGAUCUCUUCACAAUAAAAUAGGCAUUUCUUCAGCGGGGGAAAUAUGACCAUGGCAACAUAAUGACAUUAGAGAACAAGUUUAGGAAGAACAAUAUU